Molecule: ribosomal RNA, 305 nt
Filed under: uncultured bacterium
Lineage: Bacteria
Description: bacterial SSU rRNA
Rfam family: Bacterial small subunit ribosomal RNA
Source: RNAcentral
UUUCCUACGGGACGCAGCAGUGAGGAAUAUUGGUCAAUGGGCGGAAGCCUGAACCAGCCAAGUCGCGUGAGGGAAGAAGGCCCUGCGGGUCGCAGACCUCUUUGGACGGGGAGCAAGGCCGCCGACGUGUCGGCGGAAGGAGAGUACCCGUAGAAAAAGCAUCGGCUAACUCCGUGCCAGCAGCCGCGGUAAUACGGAGGAUGCGAGCGUUAUCCGGAUUUAUUGGGUUUAAAGGGUGCGCAGGCGGCCUGUUAAGUCAGCGGUAAAAGCCCGGGGCUCAACCCCGGCGAGCCGUUGAAACUGGC